Molecule: long non-coding RNA, 2543 nt
Organism: Equus asinus (donkey)
Lineage: Eukaryota; Metazoa; Chordata; Mammalia; Perissodactyla; Equidae
Source: Ensembl
CCAGCCACCAGACGGUAUCAGAGAGGCCGUGGAGGGGAAACCAAGUCCCCGAAGUCCGUUAUCAGAGCAGAAAUGCCUUCAGUCACCUGACCCUGACUGACCCCACUGACCUAUCCCAACCCCUGGGAGGGAGCGGUCCUCUGUGUCCACCUUGCAGAUAAGGAAACUGAGGCUCCGAGAGGCCAGUCACCACCUGAGGUCGCUGAGCCUCCAAGGGGUUCAAAGCUUUGGUCUGCGCCUGCCCAGGAGCCGCCAGGGUGGCCCAGGCAGGGGGCAGACCAUAGGGUUCCUCAGGCUGUGAGGGCUGUCAGGCCCCUCUGGGACCCUAUGCCACCCACUCCACCGGAGCAUUUCAGGUCAGAGAAGAGGGCGUCGCCCUCCAACACACCCCACCAGAGAAGAGGCAGAAGCGAAGGAAUCUGAUCCAUGCACAGAAAAUCGAUCCCGUCACAGACACCGAGGUGGGGGAACCGGAGCUGGUGUGGGGGAGCCCCUCACAUGCCAGGAGAGGAGCAAUGGGGGUGCCCCGAGCAACAGGUGGAACUGAGGGAGGGCCCCGAAAGGCAGGAGACCCGGGGGAUUCCCUCUGAACCAAAGGUAUGGCAAGAACACGAGCUCCCAGGGCGGGGAUCCAUCUGGAACGCACGCUGGGCGGGACGAGGGAUGUUGGUCAUAGCAAUGCUCCAGCUCUGCUGCCCUUGUCAGCCUGUCUGUGUGAUGGGAGGCCAGUAGGCCAAUAGAGGCUGCUUUGGAGGGGUUGGGAAAGGGCCUGGGGCCUGGCACCUCCCAUCGGAGCCCACUCGACUCCUGUGCCCCACUGCCAGCCCUGCCCUGUUGUCAGGGAAAAGGACUCAGCUUGCCCAGAACAACCCCUGGUGGCAGGGGUCUCAGCCUCAGGACCUCUGGGGCCCCAGCCAGCCGUCCUGAUCCCCGGCUUCCUCCCACCUCCGGGUGGGGGCUAGGGGGCUGGGGCCGGCUCCAUCAGGGUGGGGAGAACCCAGCAUCUAGCUGGGCCAAACCUGAAAAGCCAGUUUCAUCCUUGAAUCUUCUCUGCCAGGAAGUCCCAAGGCUGGGGCCUUCCCGGGCAGAGGGCUAGGGCCUCCAGACCCAGGCCCCGCCCACCCAGACAGACACACACAAACACAACCCCAAGCUGCACACAUACAAGAAGGAACCCGGUCAGGACCAUCUGGGCCUUGGGCAGGCACAGCUGGGGCACCCGCUGCGCAUUCCCCACACAGCCCCAGAGAAGGGCCCCCAGCAGGGCAGACGGCGGGGUCCGCCCCCUGCACCCUAAGCACCCGGGGACCUGCCACCUCCCAGCCAAGAGGCCUGCUCCAAAGCACCUCUAGCGGCCUCAGGCUCAGCCCCGGCCCCUCCCCUUGACCACUGAGCACGGUAGGGCGUCUUCGGGAGUAGCUCCCGGCUCACUGCACUUCCACCGUCUAGAGAUGAGGCAGAUGGGGCUCGGAAGCGGAAGGGGGAUCCGGCCCCCACUGUCAGCUCCACAGCUCCUGCUGUUCCUGCUGAUACUAUUCCCAUCCCCAGUGAGGACGGCUGGGACAGGGGCGAUCCCGAAAAGUCCCACCCUCUGAGCCGGAGUUUCGACUUGGAGACACCACCCACCGGUGGCGGCAGAGAAGGAAAAUGGCAUGGCAAGGGGGCCCAAAAAUACCUGGGCCCAGGGCCCAGCAGCACUGGCAGCACGCUCCAGGAAAGGAGGAUGCAGCCCCCACACACCUCCUCCUGCUCCCUCUCCACUCAAGGAGCCUCUGACCCCCCAGCGCCCGUCAGAUACCGAGGGCCUAGGAGGCCAGUCAGGAUGCCAGAAGCCACCCUGCUGAGAAGCCAAAGCAGGACUCUGACCCAACUCUCCCAUCGACCGUGUCAGCCCUCCCUACGUUAGACAGGACACUGAGCCAGUGAGCUGGGUGCCCUGGGACAGUGCUGUGCUGGAACUUGGCCUCUGUGGCUGGUAGAGCCCCUGUCCUUUCUCUCAAGGCCGCAGAGACUGACGGCCCCACUGCAGGCCGUGAGCCCUCCCUGCAGGGCACAGAGCAGCCCACCCCAACGCUGACCCCUUUCAAAGCAUCGAGGGUGUCCUCACCUCCAUCUUCCAUUGGCAUCCUCCAAUAAGCCUCUCCCAGCCCAGCAGCAGGCACGUGGACGGAGGCGGCCCACGCCCCUCCUGCCCAGCACCACCUUCUGUCCCUCAGCCCGCCUGCCGGCCCUGCAGGCCACAGUGGGAAUGCUCAGCCCACCACUUCCAGCCUGUGGUGGGGCCUCAGACCACAAACCAGGAAGUGGGGGGUGGGGGGGUGCAGGGGUUGCGCAAGCCCCGGCACUCAGGCCCGAACAUCUGGAGAAGUGGGUUGCUGGCACCGGCCCUGCCUCCUCCCCCUGGGAGCCAGGGCUGCCCUCCUGGCCUCUCUCUCCUCUUCCUAAGGUGGGGAUAAAACACCCCUCUGGGAACGUGUGGACUCCCCAUGUUUUCUGCAAGGCCUGGCACCAUUUGUGAAAUCCAAAUAAAAAUUAACACAAAA